CUAUUACGUGCUGUAGUUCAUCCGCAAUUCAACAGUGUUUACGUCGGAAGGAUCGUCGUGCAGUCGACGCCGCGACCUGACAUGAAGGAGCGUUUGCCGACUACGCCUAGAAAGGGAUGUCAAGAUUUCGUGAACCAGAGGCAUCUCUACACCGCAUAGGAACCUAAGACAUUUCUGCAGCCGGAACAGCACGGCAAAGCAUCUGAUCUGCAUGCUGCGACAAGGUAUGGCUGGGCCUGGUGAUGAAGUGUAAGCAGAACAUGCUAUGCUGCGAAUUGGUGCGAAUCUUCACAUCCGAGUUGUUCCCACGACAGUCAAGCACCAGUGUGAUUUGCUUCAUUGGCAAGGUAAUAUACUAUGGUGAGCUUGCACCUCAAUAUUGGUAUUGAAAAAUAUGUCAAGUAAAAGA
Long non-coding RNA from Dermacentor silvarum, 409 nucleotides. RefSeq lists it as uncharacterized. NCBI's taxonomy places the organism in Eukaryota, Metazoa, Arthropoda, Arachnida, Ixodida, Ixodidae. The transcript has 3 exons. The record is from RefSeq and is a predicted model, not a curated record.